Long non-coding RNA from Arachis duranensis, 922 nucleotides. RefSeq lists it as uncharacterized. The record is from RefSeq and is a predicted model, not a curated record. The transcript has 6 exons. Lineage: Eukaryota; Viridiplantae; Streptophyta; Magnoliopsida; Fabales; Fabaceae.
UUGAAGAGUAUGUUAUUUACUUUUAAGGAAAGCGGGGAAUGAAGGAGAAGUGGAGGAGCAGGAGCAGGAGCAGGAGCAGGAGAGAAAGGUGAUUAAGAUUAAGAGACGUGUGUGAGCGCGUAGCAUUGAAUAUUAGGGGUAGCCAUGUUUAUUAGCUGGCGUUCCAGCAUUGCCAUUUCAUCACCGCCAAUCCCAAUUCCAAUUCCAAUUCCAAUCCCCAACGAGGAGCCUUUAUCAUUCUCCACCUCCAUCUUCAACUUCUCCUCCGAAAACCCUAGGAUCGAGGAGACCCGCGGCCUCAUGCAUCUCUUCCCCGACCAAGUUCCCCCUUCUACCCUCCCUUUUGGACGCAAACCCCUUGUCUGUGUCGUCAGCGUCCCCAAUCACAUGACCUACGCCGACUUCUGCCAGUUCUGUGGUUCCUUCCUUCACUACAUCCUUGAGAUGCGCAUUGUCAGAAUGGAUGGAACGGAAGAUCAGUACAGCGUUUUGAUCCGCUUCGACAAUCAAGGCUCCACCGACAGCUUCUUCAAGCAUUACAAUAGCCGUCGUUUCUCCUCUCUGGUUGAGGUUUGCCGUAUUCUUUUCACGUUGAAUGUGUAGUACAUUGGUUCCAUUGAACAUGCCCAACCAUCCAAUGCUACCUCCGUUGAACAGCCCACAUGUCCAGUUUGCCUUGAAUUGUUAGAUCAAGACACCAGUGGAAUUCUCACUACUCUAUGUAAUCAUUCUUUUCAUUGUUCCUGCAUAUCAAAAUGGGCUGAUUCUUCUUGUCCUGUGUGUCGUUAUUGCCAACAGCAAGCUGAAAAAUCCAUAUGUUCUGUUUGUCGGACGACUGAAAACCUUUGGAUAUGUGUGAUAUGCGGGUUUGUUGGCUGUGGAAGAUAUAAAGCAGGACAUGCCAUCAUGCACUGGAAAGAGA